AGCGGCAGGCCUAAUACAUGCAAGUCGAGGGGUAUGAUUUUGAGUUUACUUGAAAUCAGAGACCGGCGCACCGGGUGCGUAACACGUAUGCAACCUACCCUUUACACGGGGGAUAGCUCAGAGAAAUCUGAAUUAAUACCCCAUAGUUACAUUGAACUGCAUGGUUUAAUGUAUAAAGCUCCGGCGGUAAAGGAUGGGCAUGCGCUACAUUAGCUAGUUGGUGAGGUAAUGGCUCACCAAGGCUACGAUGUAUAGGGGUUCUGAGAGGAUGAUCCCCCACACUGGUACUGAGACGCGGACAGACUCCUACGGGAGGCAGCAGUAGGGAAUAUUGGACAAUGGACGCAAGUCCGAUCCAGCCAUGCCGCGUGCAGGAUGACGGCCCUCUGGGUUGUAAACUGCUUUUAUAUGAGAAGAAACCUCCAGAUGCGUCUGGGGCUGACGGUAUCAUAUGAAUAAGGAUCGGCUAACUUCGUG
RNAcentral lists this ribosomal RNA (477 nucleotides) under uncultured bacterium. RNAcentral describes it as "bacterial SSU rRNA". It matches the Rfam family "Bacterial small subunit ribosomal RNA", at positions 39 to 507 of the family's 1533-position model. The record is from RNAcentral.